AUUGAACGCUGGCGGCAGGCCUAACACAUGCAAGUCGAACGGAGUGGCGGACGGGUGAGUAAUGUCUGGGAAAAUGCCUGAUGGAGGGGGAUAACGUCCGGAAACGGGCGCUAAUACCGCAUACUAUCAGAUGAGCCUAGGUCGGAUUAGCUAGUUGGUGGGGUACAGGCCUACCAAGGAGACGAUCCGUAACUGGUCUGAGAGGCUGAUCAGGAAGACUGGAACUGAGACACGGUCCAGACUCCUACGGGAGGCAGCAGUGGGGAAGAGUGGACAAUUGGCGAAAGCCGUAUCCAGCCAUUCCGCUUGUGUGAAGAAGGUCUUCGGAUUGUAAAGCACUUUAAGUUGGGAGGCGUUACCAACAGAAUAAGCACCGGCUAACUUCGUGCCAGCAGCCGCGGUAAUUC
RNAcentral lists this ribosomal RNA (407 nucleotides) under uncultured bacterium. Its description in RNAcentral is "partial 16S ribosomal RNA". It matches the Rfam family "Bacterial small subunit ribosomal RNA", at positions 30 to 526 of the family's 1533-position model. The record is from RNAcentral.